CCUGUAGCUGGAAGGUUCCCCCGGGGUUACGGGGGCAACGAUCAGCUGCUGCAUGCCUAAACCGUGCAGUUCACAGAUCAAACGCGAGUGGCCUGCGCCCGCAGGUUGAGAUAUGACCGUAGCAGCUCUGCCAAGAGUCUGAUCGUCUAGUUCCGUAGGUGAACCUGCGGAAGGAUCAUUA
RNAcentral lists this ribosomal RNA (181 nucleotides) under Caloplaca cerina. Its description in RNAcentral is "partial 18S ribosomal RNA". Lineage: Eukaryota; Fungi; Ascomycota; Lecanoromycetes; Teloschistales; Teloschistaceae. The record is from RNAcentral.